GAUGAAGAACGUAGCGAAAUGCGAUAAGUAGUGUGAAUUGCAGAAUUCCGUGAAUCAUCGAAUCUUUGAACGCACAUUGCGCCCCCUGGUAUUCCGGGGGGCAUGCCUGUCCGAGCGUCAUUGCUGCCCUCAAGCACGGCUUGUGUGUUGGGCCCCGUCCUCCGAUUCCGGGGGACGGGCCCGAAAGGCAGCGGCGGCACCGCGUCCGGUCCUCGAGCGUAUGGGGCUUUGUCACCCGCUCUGUAGGCCCGGCCGGCGCUUGCCGAUCAACCCAAAUUUUUAUCCAGGUUGACCUCGGAUCAGGUAGGGAUACCCGCUGAACUUAAGCAUAUCAAUAAGCGGAGGA
RNAcentral lists this unclassified non-coding RNA (346 nucleotides) under soil metagenome. RNAcentral describes it as "partial contains 5.8S ribosomal RNA, internal transcribed spacer 2, and large subunit ribosomal RNA". The stretch from base 1 to 120 matches the Rfam family "5.8S ribosomal RNA", at positions 35 to 154 of the family's 154-position model. The record is from RNAcentral.